This 325-nucleotide unclassified non-coding RNA is filed under the name uncultured Rasamsonia. RNAcentral describes it as "sequence contains ITS1". The stretch from base 1 to 105 matches the Rfam family "5.8S ribosomal RNA", at positions 50 to 154 of the family's 154-position model. Lineage: Eukaryota; Fungi; Ascomycota; Eurotiomycetes; Eurotiales; Trichocomaceae. The record is from RNAcentral.
GAAAUGCGAUAAGUAAUGUGAAUUGCAGAAUUCCGUGAAUCAUCGAAUCUUUGAACGCACAUUGCGCCCCCUGGCAUUCCGGGGGGCAUGCCUGUCCGAGCGUCAUUGCAGACCAGCUCAAGCGCGGCUUGUGUGAUGGGCCCCCCUGCGUCUCCGGCUCCCCCCGGAGACGGGCCCGAAAGGCAGUGGCGGCGUCGCGGUGGAUCCGAUCGCCCGCAGCGUAUGGGAACCUGGCGCUGGCGGCGCGGACCGACGCUCGCCCGGAGACCACGAUCUUCCUCAAAAGGUUGACCUCGGAUCAGGUAGGGAUACCCGCUGAACUUAA